Molecule: long non-coding RNA, 3717 nt
Organism: Xiphophorus couchianus (Monterrey platyfish)
Lineage: Eukaryota; Metazoa; Chordata; Actinopteri; Cyprinodontiformes; Poeciliidae
Exons: 2
Source: RefSeq, a predicted model, not a curated record
AAUAAUCUGUGAAAGAAAACUGAGCUCCUCUAGCUCGGUCAGAAACAACCAAUCAGACAGGAGGAGAGUCUUAGUGCUGUCAAUCGUCCUCAUGUACAGGCUGCUCACACUCCCUCUUUCUCUGUGUUACGCUACAGCUAGUUCCCAAACGGAGCCUGUCGUGAAUUCUAAGGCCAUUCAGCAUGGCCGCUGAGGAUGAUGAAUAAAUGGUUUCCUGUAACAUUCAGUUGUUUGUUUUCCAUUAGCAUAUUUAGCAGUAGGUACGUGAAUGAGAAAUGCAUUUCAUUUAAUCAAAAACAACCAAUCAGAGCAAAGAGGAGGGUCUUAGCGCUGUCAAUCACUGCUAUGCUCAUCCCAUCUGGCUUGGUCUGUGCUAAGCUACAACUGGUACAACACAACAUAGUGCUAAGGCUAGUUAGCAUGACCAGUGAUGACAGUGUAUAACUGUUUUCCAUUAACAGUAAGUUGUAACAUUAGGACAUUUAGCAGCAGGUGCUCUAGGUUGAUUGAUUGAUUGAUUGAUUAGCUCUGAUCGGUGCAUUUCUUCAGACGAUAACAGUAGCAUUAGGAGGAGGAGGAGCUCGAUUUUGUCUCAGAUUAUCUUGAACUGCUGUGCUGUCAUGAUAUAACAGUUUAUACGUUAAAAAAACGACUUUUUUUUAUUUUUAUUAUAAACACUACGUAGUCUACACUACUUAGUCUACCUGCAAGUGGAUGUUGCAAAAUGUCAAAGUAUUCACUGAAUAGUUCCUGCAACGCUGAAUGAAAUCAUCAGGAAAUCCUGUGUCAGGUUUGCAACAGUCCCUCCCAAAGGUCUGAACUUGACCUCUCAGAUCCGCAUGAAGGGACGUUAUGUAGCAUGAUUGUACAAAUAUGCUCAGACAUACACACACACACAGGUUUUCAUUUCUAACUGUAUAAGGAAAUGGUAUGGACUUCCAUUCAUUUGUGCAACACCUAGACUUGCCACAUACCCUAAACUCAACCUGUCAUCCCAAAAACAAUAUUCCACUGUAUCAACAGAAGGACUGGAUGAAAGCAUCCUUUGAACCUGUGUAUGUAAGUGAUUGCUAAGAGGUCCUAAAGAGGCAACAUAAACAAGUGUCAGUAAGUACACACACACCACUCUAAGCUCAUACAUACAGGUAGGUAGAGCUACUUUUGCAGAAACUGCGCUCUUGCAUCAGUUUCCUGCUGAUAGCCUGCAUUGGUGAACUUCUAAGUCAACAAAUCAGACACCCGUCACAGUCUGAUGAAAACAAGUUGACUGUCAUGAGCAUUUAAGAAUCGUAUUCCUCAAUAAAGUGAAAGAGUUAAGACCACGACACGGUUGGCAGUGGAAGUUACUGGAAGUUAGACAAAGUGAACAGGAAUGAGAGCAGCUACUUCCUUCCACUGUGCCAAACAUCCAGUUGGGGCUGAUUGUAAAACCCGAUUAGCGAGAAGGCAGAAACGCCUCCGCUUCAGGACCUCCGCUUGUGUGGAUGCUGCAACCGCCGUGUCGUGAGAGGAACUAAGGCAAGCUACCUCACUGAGUUCUCCCUGUGCAAACACAGCUCAGUGUGGUAUCAGUGUCUCUGAAAUAUUCGCGCACACAGUUCUGCAAAAACACACAAACGUGGAAAUGGUGAACCGCUUGCAAAAGCACUUUUAAUAGUCCCACACGUCCAAAACAGAGAACGGUAGAAAAUGGAUAACAGUGAUUUGCGUUGCAGGUAAGGCUCCAAAAGCAAAUCUGGUUAUCAUCGGCGUACACAGCUCAACCACGGAAACAAACCCACAUUGAGAACACUGGAGGCACACUCCGGCUGUCGUUUUUUUUUUAUCUCUACCUCUCUCACACGCACAAGUCAUAUUUGUGUGACAAAUCCCAAAAGCUUAAAGACAACAGAGAAGCAAGUAAAGAAUAACCUUUCUUUGUUUUGUUUUUUUCGUGGCUAGAUGACAGCAUCUGCUCAACGUGCCCAUAGUGUGUGUGAAACAUGCAGAGGAAGCUUCGCAUCCCGUCUGAUAGAAGGCGACGCCGGCCAGCCUUACCUAUCCGAGCCGUCUCGGUCUUGAAGGUGCUGAAGUCCCAGUUCCGAGGUAGUUUCAGAGACAUUCUCCAACGGCACAGGUAGAAGUUUGUAACUCAUCCCUUCAUGUCGCCUCCGUAUCCAUGUUAGUGCCUGUCUUCAUGAAGCUGACCAAGUGGUGGAGAGAGAGGGGGGGGAAGUGGAUUUGCAGUGCAGAGUCUUCAAGUGACUAAUGUUCACCGGUGUCAAAAGAAGAAGAAGAAACCACCACCACCAGCAGCGUCUUCUUAAAGGAAAUGGUUUUAUGCCUCUUGUUAUGACUGGUUCAGAGAGCAUGUUGCCUCACCGCUCGGGCUGCAGGGGCACAAAUCCAUCCAGCUGCUGUCUCUACAUACCCAUUUCUCUAAAAGGUGAAAGUCUAGUCCGCCGCCGACAGAAAGGUCUCCAUCGUCAAACAAAAUGAGAACAUUUUACAGAGGCUGGUGAGAGGAAAUUGACCGAAUAAGUUUCAAAAUGGGGAAGAUGACCACACAAAAAAAAGAGAAGGAAGAAGUCACAAGAGUACACCUCCUGUUGUCUUUAAAUACAUUUAUUUUUUUUUCUCUGAACAUAGCCAAAAACACAGUUCAGCGUUAAAGAAUACCUCUAGAUAUUGUACAAUUUACCAAACCAUUGCACAGAUAAAGAAUAGAUAUACAGAUUUCUUUAUUUUUUUUGUUUUACAGAUUCAUAAGGUAAUCUAUGCACAUAAUAAAGUAAAAUGUUUCACACAGGAGAGCCUGCACAGCACAAUGGACAGACAUGACUCCCUUACAUUCCUCUGAUAGACUCCUGGCAAAACACACUUGCACAACAGGUCAGUGGAGCCCUAAAGACCAACAAAAAGAAGACGUUUAUCUAGUACACUAACUUUUUCAUAAAAGGGCAGCGGAUUGUUCUAAGCAGAAGUAACAAAUGGCCAAAUAUCUCCAUUUAUGUACAGCCUUAAGGUCACAGUCAACAGGCUGAGCACAGGAGCUCUGGCUCCCUCUGGUGGCAGGUAAGUGGAAGGGCAGUGCUGAGCUGCUGAACCGAAAAAUUGAGCUGUGUGAAAAUGUAACUACUGCGGCGGCUUCGGCUGCGAUACCAAGAGGAAGAAACUACGUAAAUCAUAAGCAACGAGCACCCGAGCUGAGGCACGACACCGAACAGGAGCCUAGCAACAGCAACCACGGCAACAGCGGAGAAACUCUUCAGCUACUUUUACACUUGUUCUCUUUUUUUUUUUUCGCACGUGGCGAUAAUGAUUUUUUUUUUUUUUCUUGCCUGACUACAAAAACUACAAACAAAAAAACCACCAACAUAUAUUUUAGAAUUACAGCAGAGAUAGAGAGUUAAUAAAUAAAUAUCUUGAGAAAGAUGACGUCUCGAAUGACGUCAAUAAAUAAUCAUCGGAAUCAAUUCAAACACCGGAUAAAAGUGAUGUCUGGGUUAUAUACCCGAAAAAACUAGAAGAUGGUAUAUAAAAUAAACAUAAAUACCAGGAACACAUUUAAAAGAAGCCACUAUGUACCAUCAUUUUCCUUUCCUGCUACACCAAAUGUAGUUUAUUAUGUCUUGUUACAAAUAUUGGUUUUAUUCCAUCAUACUAACAGAAGUCUUCUGGUUUUAGUUAGAAAGACUAAAGGGUCCUCUGAACCAAAUCGUUAAAACACCAUCAGUA